RNAcentral lists this ribosomal RNA (601 nucleotides) under uncultured bacterium. Its description in RNAcentral is "bacterial SSU rRNA". It matches the Rfam family "Bacterial small subunit ribosomal RNA", at positions 76 to 703 of the family's 1533-position model. The record is from RNAcentral.
GCUUGAAAAUGGCCAAGUCGUAACAAGGGAAGGAGUAACAUGGAAUGAGAGUUAGUUCCUAGCCCAGUUCGGGACAGGUAUUGGGAGAAUUCGCGGCCGGUAAAUUAAAUUCGCCGUGUAGGGAGUGGUGUUAGAAUUCAAUGGCCGUCCUUUUUCACUAGUUGGUGGGGUAAAGGCUUACCAAGGCAGCGAUCGGUAGCUGGUCUGAGAGGACGAUCGGCCACACUGGGACUGAGACACGGCCCAGACUCCUACGGGAGGCAGCAGUGGGGAAUUUUCCGCAAUGGGCGAAAGCCUGACGGAGCAAUACCGCGUGAGGGAGGAAGGCUCUUGGGUUGUAAACCUCUUUUCUCAGGGAAGAAAAAAAUGACGGUACCUGAGGAAUCAGCAUCGGCUAACUCCGUGCCAGCAGCCGCGGUAAUACGGAGGAUGCAAGCGUUAUCCGGAAUGAUUGGGCGUAAAGCGUCCGCAGGUGGCACUUCAAGUCGAUUGUUAAAGGUCAGAGCUUAACUCUGAACAGGCAGUGGAAACUGAAGAGCUAGAGUGAGGUAGGGGCAGAGGGAAUUCCCGGUGUAGCGGUGAAAUGCGUAGAGAUCGGGAA